GUGGACGCCAGUCUGCGUGGAGCCGACCUUGAAAUACCACCCUUUAAUGUUUGAUGUUCUAACGUGGACCCGUAAUCCGGGUUGCGGACAGUGUCUGGUGGGUAGUUUGACUGGGGCGGUCUCCUCCUAAAGAGUAACGGAGGAGCACGAAGGUUGGCUAAUCCUGGUCGGACAUCAGGAGGUUAGUGCAAUGGCAUAAGCCAGCUUGACUGCGAGCGUGACGGCGCGAGCAGGUGCGAAAGCAGGUCAUAGUGAUCCGGUGGUUCUGAAUGGAAGGGCCAUCGCUCAACGGAUAAAAGGUACUCCGGGGAUAACAGGCUGAUACCGCCCAAGAGUUCAUAUCGACGGCGGUGUUUGGCACCUCGAUGUCGGCUCAUCACAUCCUGGGGCUGAAGUAGGUCCCAAGGGUAUGGCUGUUCGCCAUUUAAAGUGGUACGCGAGCUGGGUUUAGAACGUCGUGAGACAGUUCGGUCCCUAUCUGCCGUGGGCGCUGGAGAACUGAGGGGGGCUGCUCCUAGUACGAGAGGACCGGAGUGGACGCAUCACUGGUGUUCGGGUUGUCAUGCCAAUGGCACUGCCCGGUAGCUAAAUGCGGAAGAGAUAAGUGCUGAAAGCAUCUAAGCACGAAACUUGCCCCGAGAUGAGUUCUCCCUGAGACUUAGAGUCUCCUGAAGGAACGUUGAAGACGACGACGUUGAUAGGCCGGGUGUGUAAGCGCAGCGAUGCGUUGAGCUAACCGGUACUAAUGAACCGUGAGGCUUAACCUU
RNAcentral lists this ribosomal RNA (767 nucleotides) under Salmonella enterica subsp. enterica serovar Infantis. RNAcentral's name for it is "partial 23S ribosomal RNA". It matches the Rfam family "Bacterial large subunit ribosomal RNA", at positions 2164 to 2925 of the family's 2925-position model. Lineage: Bacteria; Pseudomonadati; Pseudomonadota; Gammaproteobacteria; Enterobacterales; Enterobacteriaceae. The record is from RNAcentral. RNAcentral also lists the same sequence under 9 other names.